This is a long non-coding RNA of Daphnia pulicaria, 382 nucleotides long. RefSeq lists it as uncharacterized. Lineage: Eukaryota; Metazoa; Arthropoda; Branchiopoda; Diplostraca; Daphniidae. The transcript has 2 exons. The record is from RefSeq and is a predicted model, not a curated record.
CAACUGUCAUACCAUAUAUAUAUACAAACCAGUGUAAUCCGUUUUACAGAUUCAAUCGUUUACUGAAACCCUGCAUUACAACUGCCACUUAAAAUUCUGGACGUUCUCUAUACCGUCAACUCACGAAAACCACAGACUGUCGUACAGUCGUACUGUCUAUUCUGCCAAAUCUCAUCGCAUAACUAUUCUGAGGAAAUAAAUAAACGUGAAAAUUACACUGCAGAGACACGAAUGGACAUGACCAACACGUUGUUAAAGUCACAUCGAAAUUCGAAACUGACAAUAAAAAACGCCCGCCCCUAAAGUCUGAAAAACUUUCCCGCCAUUUAAGGAAAGCGGCCAUGAUGGAUUUAUUUCCUUACCCUCAUACCCUGCCUCCUAC